RNAcentral lists this ribosomal RNA (254 nucleotides) under uncultured bacterium. Its description in RNAcentral is "partial 16S ribosomal RNA". It matches the Rfam family "Bacterial small subunit ribosomal RNA", at positions 524 to 776 of the family's 1533-position model. The record is from RNAcentral.
CACGUAGGGCGCAAGCGUUGUCCGGAAUUAUUGGGCGUAAAGAGCUCGUAGGCGGUUUGUCGCGUCUGCUGUGAAAACUCGGGGCUUAACUCCGGGCCUGCAGUGGGUACGGGCAGACUAGAGUGCGGUAGGGGAGACUGGAAUUCCUGGUGUAGCGGUGAAAUGCGCAGAUAUCAGGAGGAACACCGGUGGCGAAGGCGGGUCUCUGGGCCGUAACUGGACGCUGAGGAGCGAAAGCGUGGGGAGCGAACAGG